This 253-nucleotide ribosomal RNA is filed under the name uncultured bacterium. Its description in RNAcentral is "partial 16S ribosomal RNA". It matches the Rfam family "Bacterial small subunit ribosomal RNA", at positions 524 to 776 of the family's 1533-position model. The record is from RNAcentral.
UACGAAGGGAGCUAGCGUUGUUCGGAAUUACUGGGCGUAAAGGGUGCGUAGGUGGCGUGAUAAGUCAGGUGUGAAAUCCCUGGGCUCAACCCGGGAAUUGCAUUUGAUACUAUCGCGCUUGAAUUCGGGAGAGGUAAGUGGAAUUCCCAGUGUAGAGGUGAAAUUCGUAGAUAUUGGGAAGAACACCCGUGGCGAAGGCGGCUUACUGGACCGACAUUGACACUGAGGCACGAAAGUGUGGGGAGCAAACAGG